This 496-nucleotide long non-coding RNA is filed under the name Mus pahari (shrew mouse). RNAcentral describes it as "predicted gene 20621 (MGP_PahariEiJ_G0033080.1)". The record is from RNAcentral. Lineage: Eukaryota; Metazoa; Chordata; Mammalia; Rodentia; Muridae.
UGGUCCUAGAGUUCACACUCACCAGGGCAGAAAGGACUGGCGCAGGAGACAUAGUUCUCCACUGUUGGCACGGUUCAGAACAAGUGAGUGGGACGAGGGCUUCCGUGUGAUCUCCAAGCGCCGUGCCUAGUUUGCUGUGGCUUCCGCCCGCCCGCCCCGCCCUGGCCCUGCAAACCUCUCUCUGCGCCUUGAUACCGCAGGGCGCCUUCUGCGGCUGCUGCUGGGGCGGUGGGCGGCCAGGCAGCUGGAGGAGCCCAUGACGAGGACCAGGAUGAGAACGAAGACUGGACCGAGACGCCCCCAGAUCAUGGCGUCUCUGCGGGAACCGACACAUAGACGAAGGACCUUGUAUACAGAGCUAUUUUACAGAAAUUGCGAGUGGCACCAUGGUAUUUCUUGUGGAGCCUCACCCUCUCCUGUGCCCGCGCCCUGUCGUCCUCUCAGUCCCUGGGCAGACAUUCAUAAGACCGUACCUCUAACCCCAUGGUGAAUCUCA